RNAcentral lists this ribosomal RNA (253 nucleotides) under uncultured bacterium. RNAcentral's name for it is "partial 16S ribosomal RNA". It matches the Rfam family "Bacterial small subunit ribosomal RNA", at positions 524 to 776 of the family's 1533-position model. The record is from RNAcentral.
UACGUAGGGGGCAAGCGUUGUCCGGAAUCAUUGGGCGUAAAGCGCGUGUAGGCGGUUCGGUAAGUCUGCUGUGAAAGUCCAGGGCUCAACCCUGGGAUGCCGGUGGAUACUGUCGAGCUAGAGUACGGAAGAGGCGAGUGGAAUUCCCGGUGUAGCGGUGAAAUGCGCAGAUAUCGGGAGGAACACCUAUUGCGAAGGCAGCUCGCUGGGACGUCACUGACGCUGAGACGCGAAAGCGUGGGGAGCAAACAGG